RNAcentral lists this ribosomal RNA (453 nucleotides) under uncultured bacterium. RNAcentral's name for it is "bacterial SSU rRNA". It matches the Rfam family "Bacterial small subunit ribosomal RNA", at positions 343 to 793 of the family's 1533-position model. The record is from RNAcentral.
GGGAGGCAGCAGUGAGGAAUAUUGGUCAAUGGGCUGAAGCCUGAACCAGCCAUCCCGCGUGCAGGAAGAAGGCCCUAUGGGUUGUAAACUGCUUUUGCACAUGAAGAAUGGUAUCCUCGUGAGGGUAUAUGACGGUAAUGUGUGAAUAAGCACCGGCUAACUCCGUGGCAGCAGCCGCGGUAAUACGGAGGGUGCAAGCGUUAUCCGGAUUUAUUGGGUUUAAAGGGUGCGUAGGCGGCAAAUUAAGUCAGUGGUGAAAUCCUGCAGCUUAACUGUAGAUGUGCCAUUGAAACUGAAUUGCUUGAGUGAUCUUGAGGUAGGCGGAAUGUGUAGUGUAGCGGUGAAAUGCUUAGAUAUUACACAGAACACCCAUUGCGAAGGCAGCUUACUAAGGAUUAACUGACGCUCAGGCACGAAAGCGUGGGGAUCGAACAGGAUUAGAUACCCCUGUAC